RNAcentral lists this transfer RNA (74 nucleotides) under Corynebacterium pseudotuberculosis. Its description in RNAcentral is "tRNA-Arg". It matches the Rfam family "tRNA". From Rfam's summary of the family: Transfer RNA (tRNA) molecules are approximately 80 nucleotides in length. Their secondary structure includes four short double-helical elements and three loops (D, anti-codon, and T loops). The record is from RNAcentral. Lineage: Bacteria; Bacillati; Actinomycetota; Actinomycetes; Mycobacteriales; Corynebacteriaceae.
GUCUCCGUAGCUCAGUGGAUAGAGCAUUGGUUUCCGGUACCAAAGGUCGCAGGUUCGAAUCCUGUCGGGGGACA